AGCUUUGCGCAGUGGCAGUAUCGUAGCCAAUGAGGUUUAUCCGAGGCGCGAUUAUUGCUAAUUGAAGUCCUGGGACCUUUAUUCCAAAGUCUUUUGGCUCUGAGACCUUUAAAUUACACUGGUCUUAUAUUAAUUCCUAAAGGUCAUUUCAUAAACACUGAGCUAGU
This 167-nucleotide small nuclear RNA is filed under the name Canis lupus dingo (dingo). RNAcentral describes it as "U4 spliceosomal RNA (ENSCAFG00020027531.1)". The stretch from base 1 to 69 matches the Rfam family "U4 spliceosomal RNA". The record is from RNAcentral. Lineage: Eukaryota; Metazoa; Chordata; Mammalia; Carnivora; Canidae.